Molecule: unclassified non-coding RNA, 2436 nt
Filed under: Caenorhabditis elegans
Lineage: Eukaryota; Metazoa; Nematoda; Chromadorea; Rhabditida; Rhabditidae
Description: Non-coding transcript of protein-coding gene clh-3
Source: RNAcentral
AUGCCCUCUCGGACGCCUCUUUCCAAGAUUGAAUGGCAAAGCCUGUUGCCUCUUCCACCAGAAAAAUCCGAGAAGGACGCGACUAUAGAGAACAAUGAAGAACUGGAAAAGAUUCGGAUGCCUGCGGGCAAAGAAUACGAUCUACAGCCGGGUUCGCAUCUCGGUGUCUACAAAACAGUUCGUGGUCUACCAAUUGACGAGGAUUCCAAAAGUAUGGGUAUUGGUACAAAAAUAUUAUCAAAAAUUGAAAAGAACAAAACAUCUGAUGGCCUUACGAUACCGCUCACCCCGACUACACAAAAACAAUCAUCAAGUUGGUGUUCUUUUGAAAGUAUCAAAACAUUUUUUCGGACGGUGAUCCGUGAUUGGAUCUUUCUGGCACUACUUGGAUUCAUCAUGGCAUCUCUAUCAUUUGGAAUGGAUUAUGCUAUUCUGAACUUACAGAAUGGUCAGAUGCGGUUAUUCGAUUUGGUCAAGGAGUAUCACUUCACUUUGGCAUAUCUCGUUUGGGUUGGAUAUGUCGUUGGACUCAUUCUCCUCUCUGCAGUAUGUGCACAUUAUAUUGCUCCACAGGCGAUUGGAUCAGGAAUUCCAGAAAUGAAAACUAUUUUACGAGGAGUUAUUCUCAAAGAAUAUCUUUCAGUACGAACACUUCUUUCCAAAAUGAUUGGACUUACAUUAUCACUUGGAAGUGGAUUACCAAUGGGAAAAGAAGGACCGUUCGUUCAUGUUGCAUCCGUAGUAGCUUCUCAACUAACUCGUUUGGUUCACGGAUCAUCUGGUGGAAUAUUUGAAAAUGAGUCUAGAAGUGGUGAAAUGCUUGCAGCUGGAUGUGCUGUUGGAGUUGCUUGUACAUUUUCUGCUCCGAUAGGAGGCGUGUUGUUCUCAAUUGAAGUCACAUCUGUCUACUUUGCUGUCCGAAACUACUGGCGUGGUUUCUUUGCUGCCACGUGUUCGGCUACUCUUUUCCGAAUUCUAAGAAUGUUCUCUGUAUCUGCAGCAGUUACCGUCGAGGCCCAUUAUCAAACAAACUUUCCGCCACAAAAUGUGUUUCUCCCACAAGAGCUUCCUAUUUUUGCACUUAUCGGAUUGGUUUGUGGUCUUGCUGGUUCAAUAUUUGUAUAUCUUCAUCGACGGACUGUUCUUUUUUUGAGAAGAAAUUGGCUUGCCAAAAUGAUAUUUCAGAAAUACUGGCUCAUCUAUCCCAUCUUCAUCGCCACUUUCAUAUCUUCUUUGUCGUUUCCAUUGGGACUCGGGAAAUUUAUGGGUGGAGAGGAAAGAUUCAGUCACACAAUGAAGGAAUUUUUCGUAGAUUGUGCAUGGACUGCUCCACCAAAUGAUUCAUAUGCUUGUCCAAUGCCUACAUCAAAUGCAACAAGUUCGGAUAGUUUUGACAUUCGUCACUGGAAAGGAGAUAACUAUGAUUAUUCUCCAUUUGUCACUUUAUCUUCAUUUCAAGUAGUAUACUUUUUCCUCGCAAUUCUGGCUUCUACUCUGCCUGUUCCGUCCGGUAUUUUCAUGCCAGUUUUUGUUCUUGGUGCUGCUUUUGGAAGGCUUGUUGGUGAAGGUGUAUUCUCAUUAGAUCCAUAUGGUCAUAUCAGUGGAGAUAUACAAUUCUUCGUUCGUCCAGGUGUUUAUGCAGUUGUCGGUGCUGCAGCAUUUUGUGGAGCUGUCACACAUACAGUAUCUGUUGCUGUUAUUGUUUUUGAGCUUACUGGACAGCUAUGUCAUCUUCUACCCGUGAUGAUCGCUGUUCUUAUUGCCAAUGCUGUGGCUUCGUACCUUCAACCAUCAAUCUACGACAGCAUAAUUCGUAUCAAAAAUCUACCGUAUCUCCCUGAUAUUCCCCAUACAACGUCCCUUUAUCAUCAAAUGCUCAUUGAGCAGUUUAUGAUUUCUCCUCUUGUCUAUAUUGCAAAAGAUUCAACAGUUGGUGACAUCAAAAGAGCACUGGAAACAAAAACCCGGAUCAGAGCUUUUCCUUUGGUUGAAAAUAUGGAAUCACUAGCUCUUGUCGGUUCGGUCAGUAGAAGUCAGCUGCAACGAUACGUCGAUUCUCAAAUUGGAACAAAAGCCCGAUUUGCAGAAGCAACUCGUAGAAUCAAACAACGUUUGGAAGAUGAAGAAAGCGAACGAAAAAGAAGAGAAGAAAGUAAAUCAGAUGAUACAGAAGAUAGUUUGGAAACGACAGGUGCUGGAGAGAGAAGAGCUAGUCGGUAUGAAUGGGAGGAUAUGAUGCUCAAUCAAAAGCUGGAUUUGAGCCAACUUGAUAUUGAUUCUACGCCAUUCCAACUCAGUGAAUAUACGAGUUUAUUCAAGGCUCAUUCUCUAUUCUCACUUCUUGGUCUAAAUCGUGCAUACGUGACGAAAAAAGGGCAAUUGAUUGGCGUUGUCGCAUUAAAAGAGGUUUGCUUUUUAAUUUCUCGAAAAAAAUAG